RNAcentral lists this long non-coding RNA (2734 nucleotides) under Homo sapiens (human). RNAcentral describes it as "HSALNT0051856". Lineage: Eukaryota; Metazoa; Chordata; Mammalia; Primates; Hominidae. The record is from RNAcentral.
AGGAUACCAAGUUCCUCCUUUGGGGCCAGUAAGAAAGCAUCAGCCUCUGUCUCUUCUUCCUCUCUGUCCUGCGUCCGUGUGAAAGAAUUGCUGGGAUGCAUCUGCCAUUAAUUCGGUGAUGCCGAACUGCUGCAAUCAGGGCUCGCUGUCUAUCCUUGCCUCGAAGAUAUUCAUCCGGAAGUCUAUUAUGGAUGAGAUCACCAACUCCUAUUGAAGAGAGAAAAAACUUUUUACAUAAAUUUAAAGUCUUUCUAUAUUAUUUCUAUCUUUUAAAAAAAGUGAGAGAUCUAGCAACCUCUGUGAAUGAAAGAAACAUCUAACUCUGACAUGAUUAUGCAGCAUGUCAGAAAAUCCUUAUGUACUCUAAAGUACAUAAAUUAAUUGAUAAAAAUUAAUAUUCCUGGUUUAUGUUACCUCUCUGCUCAAGAAGAAAAUCUAAAAGAAUGAAUUUUGUGUGGACAUCACCAACCGCACUCAACUGUCAAGUCUUUUCCCUGGACAGUGAAGUUCUUGCUUGACUACCUCUUGGCCAUUUGUCUACAGUGCUGAGGAUCUGAAAGCUAGGGCUGAUUCCAGGUGGGGACCACUCAGUGUGCCUUGGAACUGACUAAACUGGGAGAGCCUUGUAAAAAUUAAAUUAUCUACCCUCUCCUAUGUGAGUUUCCAGUUGGCCGUCAGUCUGCAUACCAACUUCCCAUUUCUCAGCCUUGCUUCCACUCAUGCCACCACCAGCACUAGAGGCCUGCCUCCCUUCACGGCUCCAUUAACUAAGAGUCCUGACCCACACCCCAACUAGAGUUGACCAUGCUGCUCCAGAUGUGGCGGCUCGGUGGAUAUCGCCAGAGGAGACCUCCUGCCUCUCUUCAUUUUCCCUGGCGUACACACAUCUCCCAUCUUUCUGCCAGGACUCUCAGCUUUCUCUUCCUUUUUUAAUUCAUCAAUUCAUGCUAUAAAUAUUGAUGAAAGAUGUCCUAUGUGCUGGACCCUGAGGAUCCAACAGACAGCAAGACAGAGCACCCACCAGCAUGAAGCUUGCCCUCAAACAGGCAGAAUUUACCAUGAUUACCUACUUCUUUUUCAAGCUAAUUGAUGGUUUCCUAAUCAUCCCUUACCCUCUUCAAAAGAUAUUAAAGCCUCUAAGAUGGAUAGGCAUCCAUCAAACAUUAGUAGUUUGUGUAAAAACAGAACCCAAAUACAAUUUCCUAAUGUAGUAAUUAAUGAUGCUCCAAACCACUGUCUUGCAUAAGCUCAAUAAAUAUUUAUUCUACCUGUCAAUGAGUUGACUUUAGCCAAAACAUUUUUCAUAGUGGUUCUUAAACGUUAGUGUAUAUAAGAACCUACUGAAUCAGAAUAUCUAGGGCAUGGGUCCCAGGAAGGUGCAGAUUUAAUAAACUCCCUGGAUGAUUUUAAUGCAGGUAGUCUGCAGCCCAUGUUUUGAAAACCACUGAUAUACAGCCCAAUCCUGAUAAGCUGUAGCAUAUUUUUCCCUUUGGAUAUCUGCUGUUUAGAUUGGCUAGAAAUAAAGACAAAAUCCAAGUAAGUUUCUUCUGCUACUUUAUGUAUUGAUUGAUUGAUCAACUUACUGGCUAGCUGGCUGGCUGGUAGGAAAAGAGUGGUUCUUAAUUAUGUGGUUGUAGAGUACAGUGCUUUCUCAUAUUUGAAUGUGCUUAAAAUUCACCUGGAAAUAUAGUUAAAAUGCAGUUUCUGAUUCAAUAGUUCUGGGAUGGGGCCUGAGAUUCUGCAUUUCUAAGGAGCUCCCAGGGGAUGCCAAUACUGGCAGUCUGCAGACCACACUUUGAGACGUUAGGACUAGGACAAUAUCCAAAUUAAUUAAAAAGCUGCCCCACUUCACUUUGGCUUGUUUAAUAUAGGCCAUAUUUAUUUUUCCUAAAUAAAAUUCAAAGCCUUAACUACACUUACAGUACUUAUUACAAGGGCUUCCAACUGUACCUAUUUCAAACAUAAUAUGAAAAAAAAUUUACUUCUGUGUUAUACACUUUUCUCAUUAAUGUUAAUGCAACAUUUUAAGUCUUUAAAAUUAGAAGCUUUGAAAUAAGGAGAUGGUGAGCUUAACUGCAUAACUUUGUGGGGAUUUUGUUGCUGUUUGUUUGGGGUUUUUUACGGAGAAAGUGUGUAUAUUUACCAUAUUCCUCAGGACGGAGACAAGCUCCAAAUGUGCAGUCUGGGGGAACAUUCAUUGUUUCUGCAAUGCUAUCAAAGAAAACAAAUCCUUAGUUAAAAUACCCACCACAUGGCAUCUCUGGAAUUUAAAAUAUGUUUGCCAUAUGUUCUUAGUAGCCCAUAUUUUAUCUCAUAACCAAACUAUGAAGAUCAAACAAAAGUUCUCCAAUAGAUCUUUUGUCUGAUCUUCCACUUGCAUUAACAAUGACUGAAUGUUUUCACCCUCUUUCAGGAGCCCAGAAUUACAAAGAAAAGCAGAACACACAGAACACAUUCAAAGCAAAAUUACCAAAGUAUAAAUAGAGAGCAAGACAGACAGACAGGAAAGACAAAGAAAAAUAUAAACACAGUAAGUUAAAUCUCUGAUAUCCCAGAAAUAAUGCUUUAUGCAAAAUUAUCCCUCUCUCUUCUCCAGUGCCUUCUGCAUUUUGGAGAACUCACUGCUUUCCUGGAAUCCCAAAUUCUAUAGAUAUUAACAGAUUAACUGAUUAACAAUAAAAUAAUGAUUUUCUUAUUUAAUAGAUAGAAUCUAAUAGGCACACCAACAGUUACC